CCUACGGGAGGCAGCAGUGGGGAAUAUUGCACAAUGGGGGAAACCCUGAUGCAGCGACGCCGCGUGAGUGAAGAAGUAAUUCGUUAUGUAAAGCUCUAUCAGCAGGGAAGAACAUGACGGUACCUGAGUAAGAAACCCCGGCUAAAUACGCGCCAGCAGCCGCGGUAAUACGGAGGGGGCAAGCGUUAUCCGGGUUUACUGGGUGGAAAGGGAGCGUAGACGGCAGUGCAAGUCUGGAGUGAAAGGCGGGGGCUCAACCCCCGGACUGCUCUGGAAACUGUACGGCUGGAGUGCAGGAGAGGUAAGUGGAAUUCCUAGUGUAGCGGUGAAAUGCGUAGAUAUUAGGAGGAACACCAGUGGCGAAGGCGGAUGACUGGACUGUAACUGACGUUGAGGCUCGAAAGCGUGGGGAGCAAACAGGAUUAGAUACCCCUGUAGUC
RNAcentral lists this ribosomal RNA (440 nucleotides) under uncultured bacterium. RNAcentral describes it as "partial 16S ribosomal RNA". It matches the Rfam family "Bacterial small subunit ribosomal RNA", at positions 338 to 795 of the family's 1533-position model. The record is from RNAcentral.